This 233-nucleotide unclassified non-coding RNA is filed under the name Hevea brasiliensis (rubber tree). The record is from RNAcentral. Lineage: Eukaryota; Viridiplantae; Streptophyta; Magnoliopsida; Malpighiales; Euphorbiaceae.
UCCACUCAACCCCUGAUACGAACCAAGACACAGAAUAUCCAUAUUGGAUACAUAGACAAAUACCCUAACCAAGUGAUCAUAGAUAACUCUGACACCUGAUUGAUAUUAUAUGGUCAUAAAUCUUUGAGUCCAUCCUAGGUUGUUACAUUGGUCAGGAAGGCCAAAGAUCCUUUAUAAGUUCUUUUAAGACAACUUCAAGCUUCAAGAUGGCCCCAUGAGUGAGUGCCAUGAAG